CCCUUAGAUGUUCUGGGCCGCACGCGCGCUACACUGAUGCAUUCAACGAGUCUAAAACCUGCUCUGAUAGGGGUGGGUAAUCUUUUGAAUGUGCAUCGUGAUUGGGAUAGAUGAUUGCAAUUUUUCAUCUUCAACGAGGAAUGCCUAGUAAACGCAAGUCAUCAGCUUGCAUUGAUUACGUCCCUGCCCUUUGUACACACCGCCCGUCGCUCCUACCGAUUGAAUGGUCCGGUGAAAUCUUCGGAUUGCUGACCAAGAUCCAGCAAUGGAGCUUGGUUGCGAGAAGUUGAUUAAACCUUAUUAUUUAGAGGAAGGAGAAGUCGUAACA
This 328-nucleotide ribosomal RNA is filed under the name uncultured eukaryote. RNAcentral's name for it is "partial 18S ribosomal RNA". It matches the Rfam family "Eukaryotic small subunit ribosomal RNA", at positions 1470 to 1796 of the family's 1831-position model. The record is from RNAcentral.